CUGAGUUGCAUCCCCAGUUCUUUUUAUUUUGAGAUAGGGUUCCACUAAAUUGCCAGACCAAAUUGAAACUUGCAAUCCUGCCUCAGCCUCUCAAGUCACUGGGUUUACAGAUUUCCUGAUUCCUGUUCUCCCCAAGAAUUCCAAUAAAUAUUUGGGGAAGAAUUCUCACUGGCCCAGCUGACAGUCAUUGUUGCUCUCUAAUCAGCCAGACCAGACUCCAUUGUGCACCCCCAUCUGGGGAUAUGAGAGUGGAGUUAGGACCACCAAACCAAAUGGGACAUGGGAAUUACUAAAGCAAACAAGAGCGUGCUAUUUCUAAGAGGUGGAAAGGAGGCUGGGGCCAGGAGAUCACACAAUCUUGAGAGAAGAUGGGACAUUCUGGCACUAUACUUAAGCUUCUCCCCAAAGAGGGGAAGAGGCUUGCCCAAGUUCUCCAGCCAUGUGAGUGAGAACCUAUGCUGGCCACUGCAGCUGUUGCCUCCAGCCUCAGGAAGAAAAAAUUAAGGCAAGAAGUUGUAGGUCUCUGGCACAGAGUGUUGACGCUAGUGCCAGAGAUUUAAAGAUCUGAAGGUUCGGGCUUGUGGGACCUCAAACAAGUCAUUCCCCCUGUUUGUUCUUUAUUGUCACCAUCUGUAAUAGAGAGUCUUAGGUCAAGUACUCUGGAAAGCAGACUUAGAUGGAAAUUUGCAUACAGGAGGUUUACUGGGGAACAAUAUCAGAGGACAGUGAGAAGCAGGGCUAGGCAGAAAUUGGGUUGCAAUGCAGCUGCAGUGGAGGGCUCAGCUGAUCUGACAGGGGAUUCUAGAGCUGGAAUAAUCUGUCAGAGCUGUUUCAAAGGAAGGCAAAGGGUCCAGGCCUUUGUUCAUUCUCCUAUCAACCAGUCAUUGGAAGCAGACUAUCUGGAGGGCAUAACCAUGAGUUAGUUUGCUCCUUUCAACCCAGGACAGUUCCCAGAGAGGGAUUCAGGUCUUUCAGCAGCCAACACCCUCAAUGGAAUGGGGAUGUGGGAAGGAAUGUGUGCCCUAGACUUCGUGACACCCGAGCACCACUACAAAGGAAUGCAGAUGAGCAUUUCUAACUGUUCUGUUUCGUGAAGCCUUCAGGUUCCAAGAAGGUGCUUCAGUGGGGGAAAUCCUCUCUUCUUGAAUGUGUUGUAGUUUCUGCAGAGUCUAACUUAUUUCCUUGAAAGAGGUCUCCACUGCUAGGUCUUAAAUGUCCUCAGAGGCACCUCAUUGCUUUUUUUUUUUUUUGGGGGGGGGUACACAGGGGCACUUACCACUGAGAUAUAUCCCUAGCCCUUUUUAUUUUGAGACAGGGUCUAAGUUGCUAAGGCUGGCCUCAAACAUGUGAUCCUCCUGCCUCAGCCUUCCAAGUUGCUGGGAUGACAGACAUGCAUCACUCUGCCUUGCUCAUGUCUCUUGUGGGGUGCUCAUCACAAUUGUAAUGUAAAUAAUUUGCUGAGUAAUGAUCUAAUAUCUGUCUCUGCCACUUGACAAUAAAUCCCAAAGAAGCAUGAACCCUGUCUGUCUCCCUCACUGUUGUAUCUCUGCUGUAUAUAACAUCUGUUGAAUGAAAGAA
Molecule: long non-coding RNA, 1578 nt
Organism: Marmota monax (woodchuck)
Lineage: Eukaryota; Metazoa; Chordata; Mammalia; Rodentia; Sciuridae
Exons: 3
Source: RefSeq, a predicted model, not a curated record